GGCCUGGGUGAGACCUAAGGAACAUCUUUGUAUCUCCAGCUGGAGCAGCUGAGUUUUCCUCCUGCAGUGUGUCUGCAAGUCCGGCCCUUCCUUCAGCUCCCUCCUUGUUUGCUCAAGGCUGGGGCUGCCCAGCGGGGCAUGAAUGAGAGCCUCUCUUCCUGACUGCCUGCUGCUCCCCCUCCUUCUCCCACCUCCUUCCGAAACCUCCUCUCUCCUCCCAGCUCAGCCCCUCUUGCCUGUGCUCCUGAGCUCUGCCCCUCCGGCUGGAGCCGCAGGUUUAUCUGGAGGCAAGGAGUCUCUCCUUUGUAAGCUCAGACCCAGGAGGAGGAGGAGGGAUCUGCUUGGACCCUGAAGGAGAAACAGUUUAGCGACCCAGGAGGAACGAAGCGAGGCAGAGCCUGGGCACCAUGGCUGGAUUCUCCGCUCUUGGGCUUCUUUUCCUAUGUCAGCUAUUAGCCACAACGUCAGCUCAGAGAGUAGGACCACAAGGCCCUCCUGGACCACGAGGACCCCCUGGACCGUCUGGCAAGGACGGCAUAGACGGAGAGCCGGGCCCUCCUGGUUUGCCAGGCCCACCAGGGCCAAAAGGUGCACCAGGGAAGCCUGGAGCAGCUGGUGAAGCUGGAUUGCCUGGCCUUCCUGGAGUGGAUGUGAGUAUUUUGUCAUCUUCUCUUACAUCUUUUAAAUAGUUCACAGAGGCAUGGGUGUUUUCCUGAAGCACCUCACCAACUUUCU
RNAcentral lists this long non-coding RNA (735 nucleotides) under Athene cunicularia (burrowing owl). RNAcentral describes it as "lncRNA (ENSACUG00000010315.1)". Lineage: Eukaryota; Metazoa; Chordata; Aves; Strigiformes; Strigidae. The record is from RNAcentral.